CGCGUAGGCGGCCCUGCAAGUCCGAUGUGAAAUCCCUCGGCUCAACCGGGGACCCGCGUCGGAAACUGCAGGGCUUGAGUGCAGGAGAGGAGAGCGGAAUUCCCAGUGUAGCGGUGAAAUGCGUAGAUAUUGGGAGGAACACCGGUGGCGAAGGCGGCUCUCUGGACUGCUACUGACGCUGAGGCGCGAAAGCUAGGGGAGCAAACGGGAUUAGAUACCCGGUAGUCCUAGCCGUAAACGUUGGGCACUAGGUGUGGGAGGUAUCGACCCCUUCCGUGCCGCAGCUAACGCAUUAAGUGCCCCGCCUGGGGAGUACGGCCGCAAGGUUGAA
This 331-nucleotide ribosomal RNA is filed under the name uncultured bacterium. RNAcentral's name for it is "bacterial SSU rRNA". It matches the Rfam family "Bacterial small subunit ribosomal RNA", at positions 568 to 898 of the family's 1533-position model. The record is from RNAcentral.